This 345-nucleotide long non-coding RNA is filed under the name Olea europaea (common olive). Its description in RNAcentral is "long non-coding RNA (OEUR_LNC009239)". Lineage: Eukaryota; Viridiplantae; Streptophyta; Magnoliopsida; Lamiales; Oleaceae. The record is from RNAcentral.
GGUCGUCUGAACUAGUUGGCUUGGUGAUAGCACCACUGAUGAAGCCUAAUUUGUUCUUGGCUCUAAGGGCUCUACGCAUUGCCCUAGACCAAGUAGUGUAAUUGUCAACUGUAAGAAGUUCAGGAACAAGAGAGAUCGAUGGAUUAUCACCAUGGUCAAGACGGUAAGGAUUGGUGACAUCGGUGAAAUUGAGGAAGGGGUUAGAAAUUUUGGAUGGAGAAGCAGGGGAAGAAUCUGUGGAAGGAAUUUCUGUAGUCAUGGUUGAUUUGGUUCACCUGCUCUGAUACCAUAUAAGAAUUUAAAUAUGAAAGUUAGAGAAGAAAGAAAAUGAUAUAUGAACUUGGG